GACAGGCAAUAUAUUAGCAUAAAGACUCGUCUUUAGCGCUAAUUGUUAAAUAUGCUAGUCCUUUCAUGAUUAUGUGAUAGGUGGUGCAUGGCCGUUCUUAGUUCGUGGAGUGAUCUGUCUGCUUAAUUGCGUUUCACUAAGGGCCCAUAAAUUCAAGGUAUGUUAGCAAAUGCUGCUCUAUUGACCCCUAAUAGGCUUAACUGUCUUUAGCGCGUGUCUCUACGAGUUCUUUAAAGCACUGCGCAUGCUGUUGGGUCCUGAAAGCAACGAACGUGACCGCAACGUCUUGUUGCCUCUCUAUAAUACCUUCUUAUUUUUAAUAAGAGUAUUUACCUGAGGCUAUUUUAAAACUAGACGGACCGCUGUUUCUUUCUUAAACCAGAGGAAGGUUGCGGCAAUAACAGGUCUGUGAUGCCCUUAGAUGUUCCGG
This 430-nucleotide ribosomal RNA is filed under the name Globorotalia inflata. RNAcentral describes it as "bacterial SSU rRNA". It matches the Rfam family "Eukaryotic small subunit ribosomal RNA", at positions 1242 to 1485 of the family's 1831-position model. Lineage: Eukaryota; Foraminifera; Rotaliida; Globorotaliidae. The record is from RNAcentral.